This 253-nucleotide ribosomal RNA is filed under the name uncultured bacterium. Its description in RNAcentral is "partial 16S ribosomal RNA". It matches the Rfam family "Bacterial small subunit ribosomal RNA", at positions 524 to 776 of the family's 1533-position model. The record is from RNAcentral.
UACGUAGGUGGCAAGCGUUGUCCGGAUUUACUGGGCGUAAAGAGCGCGCAGGCGGUCGUUCAAGUCGCGUGUGAAAGCCCCCGGCUCAACUGGGGAGGGUCACGCGAUACUGAUCGACUGGAAGGCAGGAGAGGGUAGUGGAAUUCCCGGUGUAGUGGUGAAAUGCGUAGAUAUCGGGAGGAACACCCGUAGCGAAGGCGGCCGACUGGACCACACCUGACGCUGAGGCGCGAAGGCCAGGGGAGCGAACGGG